RNAcentral lists this ribosomal RNA (509 nucleotides) under Aphanocephalus sp. 1 NPL-2007. Its description in RNAcentral is "partial 16S ribosomal RNA". Lineage: Eukaryota; Metazoa; Arthropoda; Insecta; Coleoptera; Discolomatidae. The record is from RNAcentral.
GUCUUUUUGAAAAUAAUUUAAAGUCUGACCUGCUCAAUGAUUUAUUAAAUAGCCGCAGUAAUUUGACUGUGCAAAGGUAGCAUAAUAAUUAGUUUCUUAAUUAGGAACUGGAAUGAAAGGUUUGAUAAAAAAAUAACUGUCUCUAAAUUAAUUUAUAAAAAUUUAUUUUUAAGUUAAAAAGCUUAAAUUUAAUUUAAAGACGAGAAGACCCUAUAGAGUUUUAUAUAAUAUAAUAAAUUUAUAUAAGGAUGUAUUUAUAUUUUUAUUUAAAUUAUAUUUGAUUGGGGUGAUUGAAAAAUUUAAUAAACUUUUUUUUUAUUAUUACAUAUAUUUAUGAAUAAUUGAUCCUAUAUUUAGAUUAUAAGAAUAAAUUACCUUAGGGAUAAACAGCGUAAUUUUUUUUUAGAGUUCAUAUUAAAAAAAGAGAUUGCGACCUCGAUGUUGGAUUAAAGUUAAAUUUUGGUGUAGAAGCUAAAAUAUUUAGUCUGUUCGACUAUUUAAACUUUACA